GGGAACUACCUGCCCAGCUGUUUUGGGUCUCCCAUUCAUACACUGUGUUACAUGAGAGAGCCAAUCUUGGACCUACCACUUGAAACUAUUAGUGAGCUGUUCUGGAGACUGAGAAGUCCAAGAUCGAGGCACUGCCAGAUUUGGUGGCUGGUUAUCAUCCUAAACUAAAUUUGCUGCAAUCUAAAAGGUUUCUAUGGAGACAAUUCUAAUACAAGGGAACUAAUUUGGAGCAGACCUAUGACUCUGAUGCCAAUAUGGACUGGAGAUGAUGGGAGCCAGUUGGAGAGCCCCAUGGAAAUCCCCAAAGAGCUCUGGAUGAUGGUUGAUUACCUGUACCGUAAUGCUGUCCAGCAGGAAGAUCUGUUUCAGCAACCAGGCCUGAGGUCAGAAUUUGAACAUAUCAGGGACUGCUUGGAUACUGGAAUGAUUGAUAACCUCU
This 439-nucleotide small RNA is filed under the name Pongo abelii (Sumatran orangutan). RNAcentral describes it as "processed transcript". The record is from RNAcentral. Lineage: Eukaryota; Metazoa; Chordata; Mammalia; Primates; Hominidae.